AGCGAACGCUGGCGGCAGGCCUAACACAUGCAAGUCGAACGAACCUUUCGGGGUUAGUGGCGGACGGGUGAGUAACACGUGGGAACGUGCCUUUAGGUUCGGAAUAACUCAGGGAAACUUGUGCUAAUACCGAAUGUGCCCUUCGGGGGAAAGAUUUAUCGCCUUUAGAGCGGCCCGCGUCUGAUUAGCUAGUUGGUUGAGGUAAUGGCUCACCAAGGCGACGAUCAGUAGCUGGUCUGAGAGGAUGAUCAGCCACAUUGGGACUGAGAAACGGCCCAAACUCCUACGGGAGGCAGCAGUGGGGAAUCUUGCGCAAUGGGCGAAAGCCUGACGCAGCCAUGCCGCGUGAAUGAUGAAGGUCUUAGGAUUGUAAAAUUCUUUCACCGGGGACGAUAAUGACGGUACCCGGAGAAGAAGCCCCGGCUAACUUCGUG
RNAcentral lists this ribosomal RNA (434 nucleotides) under uncultured bacterium. Its description in RNAcentral is "partial 16S ribosomal RNA". It matches the Rfam family "Bacterial small subunit ribosomal RNA", at positions 29 to 507 of the family's 1533-position model. The record is from RNAcentral.